UUUAUGAGUGUGUCAGUCAGUAGCGAAGACUUUUACAUUGAAAACACUGAAUUGUUGUGAACACGGAACAAGACACAACUGACAAUUGCUUUGACUAGCGCUGUCAGUCACAGGAAAACCCCUUAACUGUUAAAAAGACAAGAUAAUACAUCGGAUAUUUAAACAGAUUUUUUAUUACGAACAUAGGACUGACCUGAAAGAUAAUGCUAAUUCUGAAUGCAGGUAAUAAACUCGCUCAAUCAAUCUCUUUCUCACAAUACUCUUCUACAUAAUACGGUAAUAAUACCAACUGAGAACAAACAGUUUACAUUGCUAAGAGUGGUUGCUAAGGGUGUUGUGUAGUGAUACACAGAACCGUUGGGUGAAGCGGUCAUAACUGUGUUUUAUCGUGAAUAAAACACAGCUAUUGACCAAUCAGAAUCAAGGACAAGAACUAACCGUUUUAUAAUAAAAACUACAACAUAUGUAAUAAUAUAACACACACACGCACACACACACACACACACACACACACACACACAUAUAUGUGUGUGUGGGUGUGUGUGUGUGUCAAUGUAUAUAAAUUACAUAAACCAAAUACAAUUGUCCAUAAAAUAAAAAACUAAAGUAUUGUUGAAACUCAAAAGGUGAAAUGUAAAAUAAAUUUGAAAAUAUUAAAAAAAAAAACCCCAAAAACCUUUAAAAUCACAAAACUAAACAUAAUAAUGCACAAUAAAAAAAAAAUAAUAAUGAAAAACAAUAAUAACCUUGGACCCUGCACUCACAAAAUGAGCCCCCUACUGGAGAUACAGCAUGAUGAACCCAUCCAAGAUAGCGAAUCAGUGACUGAGUGCUUUCUAAUGUAAAGCCUGGCAGCUUCUCCCUCAUGACAGGCCUUAUGUUCUCCCUCGUCUCGCUACCUUUCCCCAAACGUCGGUCCUCUGUUCCCACACAUCUUCAUCUUCCAGAAAUAACCCCCAUUUACUCACAUAACAGCUUCCAGAACAUUUUCGCUUCAGUACAGAGCAGUCCCAAAAGACGCACUCAACCGCCCAAAACUCUCUCUCUCUCUCUCUCGCUCUCUAUCCUCCUUCGGUUCUACCACUCUUCCUGUACGAAAAAACUCUCCUCAGAGGCUGACGGCAGGCUGAAAGCUCCCGGGGACUGUCAGAGUAUUUCAUUAUUCAAACAAUGCUGGAAAGUGGAGCCAAUGAUCACUUUAGUGGUGCUGAUUUGUCAUGGUGACUAGACGAGGGAGGGAGACUUCACAGCGCACAGGAUUGUCCACCCAGAGGCUACGUCACCAAGUCGUCACAACAGACUCCAACUCCAAUCCAGGCUUGGCUGGGAUGUGUACAUCGGCACAUGGAGAAGCUCCGCUGAUAACGCUGACCUUAUCCUUAUCUCUAACCACUGCAGGGCAGCAGGGAGAUCUCCUCUGCCUGAUAACCCACUCAACAUCUGACCUCCGAUCUUUCACACCCAUUACUCACCCUGAGUGUGACCUCAUAGAGGCUGCUGUCAGUAGCGGUGUUUGGAUACUGCUGUCAGCAGCAGUAAGUUAGUCCUGUUUUAUAUCAGCCCUAAAGGCGAGGGUCGGUGUCUUGCAGUGAAACGCUUCGACAGGAUGUUUAACUCUCAAACAUGCAUCACUCAGCCAGAUCUUAAGACAGUUUUGGAAGCCUGACAGCCAUUAGAGCCAUAUCAUAAUGCAAACACUGCAAAAAUGUUUUUUCUUUAUUUGUAUUUCUGGCUUCCUUAAUACUUAAUGCAAGAUAAAUUAUAUACCCUGUUGUAUUAUUACAUUUCAUUGCAUAUUACUGCAUAUACUGUUUUUCAUCCAAUUGGUAAAUAGAUCAAUUUUAAAGAUUUAAAAGUUGUUCAAAGUUAAACAAUUUAAAGGUUUUAAUCAUCAAAUGUAAAUCUGAAAACAAUUCUUAAUAUCUUACAUACUUUUACAUUGUUUACAUUUUCUUUUACUGGACAAGACGUUUUUGCAGUGCAGAUGAAUACAAAUAAAAAAUAUAUAUUCUGUG
This is a long non-coding RNA of Ctenopharyngodon idella (grass carp), 2015 nucleotides long. RefSeq lists it as uncharacterized. Lineage: Eukaryota; Metazoa; Chordata; Actinopteri; Cypriniformes; Xenocyprididae. The record is from RefSeq and is a predicted model, not a curated record. The transcript has 2 exons.